GAGGGUAUAGCUCAAGUGGUAGAGUGCAUGCUUAGCAUGACCGAGGUCCUGGGUUUAAUCCCCAGUACCUCCU
RNAcentral lists this transfer RNA (73 nucleotides) under Camelus bactrianus (Bactrian camel). It matches the Rfam family "tRNA". From Rfam's summary of the family: Transfer RNA (tRNA) molecules are approximately 80 nucleotides in length. Their secondary structure includes four short double-helical elements and three loops (D, anti-codon, and T loops). Further hydrogen bonds mediate the characteristic L-shaped molecular structure. tRNAs have two regions of fundamental functional importance: the anti-codon, which is responsible for specific mRNA codon recognition, and the 3' end, to which the tRNAs corresponding amino acid is attached (by aminoacyl-tRNA synthetases). tRNAs cope with the degeneracy of the genetic code in two manners: having more than one tRNA (with a specific anti-codon) for a particular amino acid; and 'wobble' base-pairing, i.e. permitting non-standard base-pairing at the 3rd anti-codon position. Lineage: Eukaryota; Metazoa; Chordata; Mammalia; Artiodactyla; Camelidae. The record is from Rfam by way of RNAcentral. RNAcentral also lists the same sequence under 1 other name.